This 434-nucleotide ribosomal RNA is filed under the name uncultured bacterium. Its description in RNAcentral is "partial 16S ribosomal RNA". It matches the Rfam family "Bacterial small subunit ribosomal RNA", at positions 29 to 507 of the family's 1533-position model. The record is from RNAcentral.
AACGAACGCUGGCGGCAUGCCUAACACAUGCCAGUCGAACGAGAUCUUCGGGUCUAGUGGCGCACGGGUGCGUAACGGGUGGGAAUCUGCCCACAGGUUCGGCAUACCCAUUGGCAACGGUGGCCAAUACCGGAUGAUUACGUUAAGUCCAAAGAUAUAUCGCCUGAGGAUGAGCCCGCGUAGGAUUAGCUAGUUGGUGUGGUAAAGGCGCACCAAGGCGACGAUCCUUAGCUGGGCUGGGGGGAUGGUCAGCCACACUGGGACUGAGACACGGCCCAGACUAGUACAGAAUGCAGCAGUGGCGAAUAUCGGACGAUGGGCGAAAGCCUGAGCCACCAAUGCCGCGGGAUUGAUGAAGGCCUUAGGGUUGUAAAACUCUUUUAACCGGGAUGAUAAUGACGGUACCUGGUAAAGAAGCGCCGGCUAACUCCGUG